This 444-nucleotide ribosomal RNA is filed under the name Fusarium sp. RNAcentral describes it as "LSU rRNA". It matches the Rfam family "Eukaryotic large subunit ribosomal RNA", at positions 191 to 654 of the family's 3401-position model. The record is from RNAcentral. Lineage: Eukaryota; Fungi; Ascomycota; Sordariomycetes; Hypocreales; Nectriaceae.
UGGAACGGGACGCCAUAGAGGGUGAGAGCCCCGUCUGGUUGGAUGCCAAAUCUCUGUAAAGCUCCUUCGACGAGUCGAGUAGUUUGGGAAUGCUGCUCUAAAUGGGAGGUAUAUGUCUUCUAAAGCUAAAUACCGGCCAGAGACCGAUAGCGCACAAGUAGAGUGAUCGAAAGAUGAAAAGCACUUUGAAAAGAGAGUUAAAAAGUACGUGAAAUUGUUGAAAGGGAAGCGUUUAUGACCAGACUUGGGCUUGGUUAAUCAUCUGGGGUUCUCCCCAGUGCACUUUUCCAGUCCAGGCCAGCAUCAGUUUUCGCCGGGGGAUAAAGGCUUCGGGAAUGUGGCUCUCUCCGGGGAGUGUUAUAGCCCGUUGCGUAAUACCCUGGCGGGGACUGAGGUUCGCGCAUCUGCAAGGAUGCUGGCGUAAUGGUCAUCAACGACCCGUCU